AACGGCUAACUACGUGCCAGCAGCCGCGGUAAUACGUAGGUGGCAAGCGUUGUCCGGAGUUUAUUGGGCGUAAAGCGAGCGCAGGCGGUUUUUAAGGUUCUUGAUGUGAAAGACCUUCGGCUCAACCGAAGAAGUAGCAUCGGAAACUGGGAAACGUUAGAGUGCAGAAGAGGACAGUGGAACUCCCAUGUGUAGCGGUGAAAUAGCGUAGAUAUAUGGAAGAACACCAGUGGCGAAGGCGGCUGUCUGGUCUGUAACUGACGCUGAGGCUCGAAAGUAUGGGUAGCAAACAGGAUUAGAUACCCUGGUAG
RNAcentral lists this ribosomal RNA (311 nucleotides) under uncultured bacterium. Its description in RNAcentral is "bacterial SSU rRNA". It matches the Rfam family "Bacterial small subunit ribosomal RNA", at positions 492 to 793 of the family's 1533-position model. The record is from RNAcentral.